Molecule: non-coding RNA, 297 nt
Organism: Vicia faba (fava bean)
Lineage: Eukaryota; Viridiplantae; Streptophyta; Magnoliopsida; Fabales; Fabaceae
Source: the annotation of a GenBank genome assembly
AUGCUUAUUGGGAGUCGCACUGUUGCUGAAUUCCAAGAUCCACACCACAGCCAUCCAUUAUUACUUCUCUUUUAUUUUAUUAUUCAAACUUCAUUUUCCCUUUUCCCUUUCUCUGCUUCCCUAUUGCUCAACUUGCCCUUUAAUCGCAAAGUUGCUGCUACUACGCCUGCAUAUGCAAAAAGCCUCUUCAAUUUUGAGCUAAAGUUUGGAUUUUUAAGAGUUUUUGAUUGUGGGGUUCUUCUUAUUUCAUCUGGGUCAUCAGCAAAUUUGUUUUAUCAGCUAUGGUUGUUUGAAUAG